Dermatophagoides farinae (American house dust mite) is the source of this 1038-nucleotide non-coding RNA. The record is from RefSeq and is a predicted model, not a curated record. Lineage: Eukaryota; Metazoa; Arthropoda; Arachnida; Sarcoptiformes; Pyroglyphidae.
CAAACGAUAAACUGUUUUAUUUUUGUGGUAAACUAGAAAUUCUAAAAAUCAAAUUCGUACAUGAUUGUGAAUGUGAAGAACAUUUGGCCAUGAUUUAAUCCAUAAUAUUUUGCAACAACUUAUACUUCAAAGCCCCGAGUAUUUCCUUAACACCAUUGAAUCUCUUCAAUAAUAAUGAAUGAUCAUCAAUUCUAAACUAACCCCAUAAACAUUGAUUGAUUGAUUUUCAAUUUUCGAUUUCAAAAUUCAAAUCGGGAUCGAUGAUUCGGCUCAACAAAAUUCGUUCAUCACACACACACACAUUCUUUUCCACUCUUUUUCUCUUUCACAUCCAUCCAUCCAUCCAUCCACUCACAUACACAUUGCAGAUUUGAUGCUCUUGUAAGCAAUAAAUAAUAAGUAUAAGUAUUUUUUUCAGCUAAAAAUAAACUAAAACUAAACUGAGUAACGUAUCAUACACACACACACACACACACUCUGAUACACACGCCCGCAAAUCAUAAUUUGUUUAUCAUCAUCAUCAUCAUCAUUUGUUGAUUAUAGACCAGAAACAAAAAACACAAAGCAACAAGUGUAAAUUCCAAAGACCUAGCUCAAUUUUACUAUAAGACUUGAGAUAUAAAAUAUGAAUGUUGAUGGUGUUCGAUAAACUUGAACAGACAUUCGAAUCAUAUCUUGGUUCACAUAUUGAUGAUACAUGAUUCAUCAUGCAUAAUGUUGAAUCGAUUGAUUGAUUUUUUUUCCAAUUUGAAUUGUUGAUUAAUUUCAUUCUUUGAGUUUAUUUUUUUUGUGAUAUUUUUCAUAAUUUCAUCCAGUUGAAAAACAACAACAACAAAAAGAAAAUGGAACGAGAACCUGCGGAUGGUUGUGAUUUUGAGCCAAACAUUGUUAAUAUCCAACGUACCGAUGGUGAUGGUAUUGAAACAAUGGAUUUAAAUGAAAUGACAAUUCUUGAUCAACAUCGUAAUCAUAAUUCACAUCAUAAUAAUGGCAUUAUUGACCGUAAUAAUAAUCAUGAAAUUAAUAAUCAUUCAUCAU